ACGAUGAACCAGGCUGCCGCUCUAUUUGGCAUUUUUUGCCUGUAACAGGGAGGAAAGUCCGGGCUCCGCAGGGUAUGAUGCCGGGUAAUUCCCGGGCCCUGGCGCCUGACUGUUGUAGAUGAGUAAUGUAUCAAAAACAAUUGUUUUCUGAAUUACAGGAGUUAGGCGCCGGGGACAGACAGCGCCACAGAAAAAAUACCGCCUGACCGCUUAAAAUGUCAUAAGUACGCCAGAUUUUUGGCGCCUUCUUUGGCAUUUUUGGCCAGGUAAGGGUGAAAAGGCGGGGUAAGAGCCCACCUCGGUAUUGGCAACAAUACCGGAAAGAUUCCAGCGAAGCUGGAAAAUUGCAAGCCUCAUCAGGAGCAAAGUCAAGUCAGCGCGGCAACGACCCGUUGGUUAAGCGCAGGUAGACUGCUAAAAAGCGCCGGAAACGGCGCUUUCAGACAGAUGGCGGCGUCUGGCCGGUAUUUUUAACGGUCAGAUUACAGAACCCGGCUUACGGUUCAUCGUUUUU
This 514-nucleotide RNase P RNA is filed under the name Treponema sp. Its description in RNAcentral is "RNase P RNA component class A". It matches the Rfam family "Bacterial RNase P class A". From Rfam's summary of the family: Ribonuclease P (RNase P) is a ubiquitous endoribonuclease, found in archaea, bacteria and eukarya as well as chloroplasts and mitochondria. Its best characterised activity is the generation of mature 5'-ends of tRNAs by cleaving the 5'-leader elements of precursor-tRNAs. Lineage: Bacteria; Pseudomonadati; Spirochaetota; Spirochaetia; Treponematales; Treponemataceae. The record is from RNAcentral.